AUUGAACGCUGGCGGCAGGCCUAACACAUGCAAGUCGAACGGUAACAGGAAACAGCUUGCUGUUUCGCUGACGAGUGGCGGACGGGUGAGUAAUGUCUGGGAAACUGCCUGAUGGAGGGGGAUAACUACUGGAAACGGUAGCUAAUACCGCAUAACGUCGCAAGACCAAAGAGGGGGACCUUCGGGCCUCUUGCCAUCGGAUGUGCCCAGAUGGGAUUAGCUAGUAGGUGGGGUAACGGCUCACCUAGGCGACGAUCCCUAGCUGGUCUGAGAGGAUGACCAGCCACACUGGAACUGAGACACGGUCCAGACUCCUACGGGAGGCAGCAGUGGGGAAUAUUGCACAAUGGGCGCAAGCCUGAUGCAGCUAUGCCGCGUGUAUGAAGAAGGCCUUCGGGUUGUAAAGUACUUUCAGCGGGGAGGAAGGGAGUAAAGUUAAUACCUUUACUCAUUGACGUUACCCGCAGAAGAAGCACCGGCUAACUCCGU
Molecule: ribosomal RNA, 489 nt
Filed under: uncultured bacterium
Lineage: Bacteria
Description: partial 16S ribosomal RNA
Rfam family: Bacterial small subunit ribosomal RNA
Source: RNAcentral